CCUACGGGGUGCAGCAGUGAGGAAUAUUGGUCAAUGGACGAGAGUCUGAACCAGCCAAGUAGCGUGGAGGAUGACUGCCCUAUGGGUUGUAAACUUCUUUUAUAUGGGAAUAAAAUGUUCCACGUGUGGGAUUUUGUAUGUACCAUAUGAAUAAGGAUCGGCUAACUCCGUGCCAGCAGCCGCGGUAAUACGGAGGAUCCGAGCGUUAUCCGGAUUUAUUGGGUUUAAAGGGAGCGUAGGUGGAUUGUUAAGUCAGUUGUGAAAGUUUGCGGCUCAACCGUAAAAUUGCAGUUGAAACUGGCAGUCUUGAGUACAGUAGAGGUGGGCGGAAUUCGUGGUGUAGCGGUGAAAUGCUUAGAUAUCACGAAGAACUCCGAUUGCGAAGGCAGUUCACUGGACUGCAACUGACACUGAGGCUCGAAAGUGUGGGUAUCAAACAGGAUUAGAUACCCCGGUAGUC
Molecule: ribosomal RNA, 460 nt
Filed under: uncultured bacterium
Lineage: Bacteria
Description: partial 16S ribosomal RNA
Rfam family: Bacterial small subunit ribosomal RNA
Source: RNAcentral